GCGUAACACGUAAGCAACCUGCCCUGAAGUGGGGGAUAGCCCGCCGAGAGGCGGAUUAAUACCGCAUGUGGAUAUGUCCCGCAUGAGAUGAUAUCUAAAACAGCAAUGUGCUUCAGGAUGGGCUUGCGGCCUAUCAGCUAGUUGGUGGGGUAACGGCCUACCAAGGCGACGACGGGUAGCUGGUCUGAGAGGAUGGUCAGCCGGAUUGGGACUGAGACACGGCCCAGACUCCUACGGGGGGCAGCAGUGGGGAAUCUUGCGCAAUGGGGGAAACCCUGACGCAGCAACGCCGCGUGGGUGAUGAAGGCCUUCGGGUCGUAAAGCCCUGUCGGGUGGGAAGAAACUUGUUGAUGCCAAUACCAUCAACACUUGACGGUACCACCGGAGGAAGCACCGGCUAACUCCGUGCCAGCAGCCGCGGUAAUACGGAGGGUGCAAGCGUUGUUCGGAAUUAUUGGGCGUAAAGCGCGUGCAGGCGGUUAUGUAAGUCAGAUGUGAAAGCCUUCCGCUUAACGGGAGAAGUGCAUUUGAAACUACAUGACUAGAGUACGGGAGAGGAGAGUGGAAUUCCCAGUGUAGCGGUGAAAUGCGUAGAUAUUGGGAGGAACACCUGUGGCGAAGGCGGCUACCUGGACAGUGACUGACGCUGAUGCGCGAAAGCUAGGGGAGCAAACGGGAUUAGAUACCCCGGUAGUCCUAGCUGUAAACGAUGGGCACUUGGUGUCGGGGGUAUUGAGUCCCCCGGUGCCGGAGUUAACACGUUAAGUGCCCCGCCUGGGGAGUACGGUCGCAAGACUGAAACUCAAAGGAAUUGACGGGGGCCCGCACAAGCGGUGGAGCAUGUGGUUCAAUUCGACGCAACGCGAAGAACCUUACCGGGGCUCGACGGUAACUGCAAACCCCUGAAAGGGGGCUUUCUCUUCGGAGACGGUUAUCGAGGUGCUGCAUGGCUGUCGUCAGCUCGUGUCGUGAGAUGUUGGGUUAAGUCCCGCAACGAGCGCAACCCUUGCCCUUAGUUGCUACCAGGUAAAGCUGAGCACCCUAAGGGGACUGUCGGCGAAAAGCCGGAGGAAGGUGGGGAUGACGUCAAGUCCUCAUGGCCCUUACGUCCCGGGCUACACACGUGCUACAAUGGUCGGUACAAAGGGUCGCCAACCCGCGAGGGGGAGCUAAUCCCAAAAAGCCGACCUCAGUUCGGAUUGCAGUCU
RNAcentral lists this ribosomal RNA (1208 nucleotides) under uncultured bacterium. RNAcentral describes it as "bacterial SSU rRNA". It matches the Rfam family "Bacterial small subunit ribosomal RNA", at positions 108 to 1306 of the family's 1533-position model. The record is from RNAcentral.